UCCUCCUAAAAUUUUUUCCAUCUUGCAUAUUCUCAAGUGUUUUAGAGAGACACAAGGCGAAAGUGAAAUGGUCUACAUGUGUUCUUUGCAUUUGAACAGGAGAACCAGCAAAUGUAUAAACACAAUGGAAAUGAGAUUAUCCAUUUGAACCUGAAAAUUGGAAGGAAAAAGGAGAAAAAAGAAAGUUCUACUGUGAUUGUUGUUUCUAUGGAAAAGAAUGGCAUUAUUCACUAUU
Rhododendron vialii is the source of this 235-nucleotide long non-coding RNA. RefSeq lists it as uncharacterized. The record is from RefSeq and is a predicted model, not a curated record. The transcript is spliced from 2 exons. Lineage: Eukaryota; Viridiplantae; Streptophyta; Magnoliopsida; Ericales; Ericaceae.